UUUUAUGGAGAGUUUGAUCCUGGCUCAGGAUGAACGCUGGCGGCGUGCCUAAUACAUGCAAGUCGAGCGAACAGACGAGGAGCUUGCUCCUCUGACGUUAGCGGCGGACGGGUGAGUAACACGUGGAUAACCUACCUAUAAGACUGGGAUAACUUCGGGAAACCGGAGCUAAUACCGGAUAAUAUAUUGAACCGCAUGGUUCAAUAGUGAAAGUACGGUUUGCUGUCACUUAUAGAUGGAUCCGCG
Molecule: ribosomal RNA, 246 nt
Filed under: Staphylococcus epidermidis NIHLM037
Lineage: Bacteria; Bacillati; Bacillota; Bacilli; Caryophanales; Staphylococcaceae
Description: partial 16S ribosomal RNA
Rfam family: Bacterial small subunit ribosomal RNA
Source: RNAcentral